This 172-nucleotide ribosomal RNA is filed under the name Chromis cinerascens. Its description in RNAcentral is "partial 12S rRNA". The record is from RNAcentral. Lineage: Eukaryota; Metazoa; Chordata; Actinopteri; Pomacentridae.
CACCGCGGUUAUACGAGAGGCUCAAGUUGACAGACAGCGGCGUAAAGAGUGGUUAAGGGAACUUUUAAACUAAAGCCGAACGCUCUCAGAACUGUUAUACGUUUCCGGAGGUAUGAAGCCCCACCACGAAAGUGGCUUUAUCCCCCCCCCUGACCCCACGAAAGCUGUGAAA